RNAcentral lists this ribosomal RNA (217 nucleotides) under uncultured bacterium. RNAcentral's name for it is "partial 16S ribosomal RNA". It matches the Rfam family "Bacterial small subunit ribosomal RNA", at positions 118 to 351 of the family's 1533-position model. The record is from RNAcentral.
UGGGAACGUGCCCUUUGGUUCGGAAUAACUCAGGGAAACUUGAAGCUAAUACCGGAUAAGUCCGUAAGGAGAAAGAUUUAUCGCCGAAGGAGCGGCCCGCGUCCGAUUAGCUAGUUGGUGGGGUAAUGGCCCACCAAGGCUACGAUCGGUAGCUGGUCUGAGAGGAUGACCAGCCACACUGGGACUGAGACACGGCCCAGACUCCUACGGGAGGCAG